Molecule: non-coding RNA, 28 nt
Filed under: Homo sapiens (human)
Lineage: Eukaryota; Metazoa; Chordata; Mammalia; Primates; Hominidae
Source: RNAcentral
UGAUAGUGAUGAUGGUGAUGAUAAUGGU